RNAcentral lists this long non-coding RNA (1293 nucleotides) under Heterocephalus glaber (naked mole-rat). RNAcentral describes it as "lncRNA (ENSHGLG00100043892.1)". Lineage: Eukaryota; Metazoa; Chordata; Mammalia; Rodentia; Bathyergidae. The record is from RNAcentral.
ACUCUCACUGCUGAGAAAAAAUACCCAACACUCACAAGUUAAGGGAGGAAAGAUUUAUUUAGCUCACAGUCUGUACAGGUUUCAGUCCAUAAUCGGCGGGCCCCAAGACAGGGUGGCGUGGAAAACAGGGUUUACAGAGGAGAAACAGUUCAUGGCACACACGGCAGCAAAACCAACAAGGGACCUUUAGCAGCGACUUUCUGCCCCUUUUAUCCAGACUACUGGAGAUCAGGGCAGUGCCAAACCAAUCAGUGUACUAGUUUAGUGAACCACACACCCUUAAUCUCAGCAUCACAUACAUUGGAUUCACUUACCCCUGAAAAAGCCCUAUGACCACAGGAAGCUUUGAGGGGACAUCCUGACACAAAUCAUAACCCUCCACCUGCUAUUUUCUAGGUUCCUGUUGCAUGGAGUACUGUUUUCCACCCUUUGACUUUCAGUCUAUGAAUUUUUAAAUUAAAUGUGUUUCUUGUAUGCACUAUACUGUUGGAUCUUGCUUCUUGAUCCCUUCUGCCAGUCUGUUUCUUUUGACUGGUGAAUUGAGACCAUUAACAUUGAUGGUUAUAACUGCUAUGUACUGACUUCUCCUUGUCAUCUUAUUUUCCUGUUGUUGGUUCCUUUUUUCUAUGGUAUCUUCUACAUAUGACCAUUUUGGCCUCACUUCCUUCUCCCAGCCUUCAAACCAGGGAACAAGUACAGGCAUAUGCAAUGUUACACGUGGGUGAACCCAAAAUUCAUUUAUAGGGGACAAGCUUUUCUGUGUAUUUCAACACAAAAGUGUUGAAACGUGCUACCUUUACUACCUGGUCAUACACUGGCAACCUGUAUAACAACUAGGAACUGUAUGCUGCAAAAGUUGGAUUUGUCUGUUAUAUACACAGCAAAACAAAAUCCACAAUACAUAUAUAAAAACGAUGUCUCAAAGUGUCCAGGUACAAACACACUAACAUAACACCUUUCGCAAGUGCUUCCCUCCCACCUCCUCCAAACCGCUGAACAAGCAAACAGCACCACAUUGCUCAAGAGGUGGCUCAACCUUUCCAUUCCCAAAACACAGCAUUUCAUAUGAACGUUAGCAAAAAAAAUUCACAAAGUGGUAUUUUACUUCCUCUACAGUUAAUGUAUGCUGGGCACUUCUAAACAUCUCAAAAAGACUAGAUGUCUCAAGUGAGGACUCAAUUUGUCCAUCACACGUACACAGCAUUCUUUUUUUUUUUUUUGGUACCGGGGAUCGAACUCAGGACCUUGCGCUUUCAAGGCGGGCGCCGGAACCACUGAGCUAAAUCCCCGGCC